CUGACAUUUUAACCUAGAAUGAGGCAGAUUAAAAAAAUGUAUUAUGCGAAACGUAUUUAUGACAAUUCUCAAUAACAACUACAGUCCGCUAGCUUGAUCAGUGGUGAAUGGAUGCAAUAAUAAAAGCAAGUAUGCUAUUUCAAAUCUAUCAGUGUAGAUCAAGAGAUCAAAUCAAGAGGCUGACUAUAAAUCCCGAAUAUCUAUCUAAUCUCUGACCCAUCAUUGUCCGGUCCUAGAUAAAUUGAACAAUAUAAUAAUUCAUUAUUUUAGUCUUACAUCAUUCAUAGGGCUGCACUGCCUGCAAACUGUCUGUGAUUGCCAUUGCUCGAGGGCAUACGUUGUGGUUGAAAUCUGGUCGGGAGGUUUUAUACCCAUAUGACAACCAGAUUUCAUGCAAAAUACGUUUUUUUUCAUGAUGUCAUGAAAAAUAUGUAUUAAUCUGAUCGAACUACUGACCAGUUAUCUAAAUGCUACUCAAUUAAUAAACAUGUGCAUAGUGUUUGUGGGCCAUGCACCCAUUGAAUAUAUGACAUUGGAACCAUUACAAUUAUACAAAUUGGAGUAAUGUUCUUUUUCAGAAGGGUUUGCAUGAUUCCGUUUAGAACAGUUGGCAAAUAACAGCUGGCAGAGCGCACCAAAGCGGGUUAGGGUCUCAUGGACCCAGUCAAGGAGCUGGGCCUAUUCCGUUUGAGACUCGGACUCAGGGGGCUUCAUGCGGGCGGAGCUCUUCCCGAUUCCGAUAUAAUCAUAUUACCUUGGGCUAAGUCUAAUGGUACUCGGGCCGAGUCCUCAUCAGUUUUCCGGUCCAAUUAACUUUUUCAGGAGUAGGGCCAUUUUACGUUUUUAUCCGGCAGGUGAUGAAAUACCAGUUAAAAAAUGUGUUAUAUUUCACCUCCAAUGCAUCGAAUUUGCUUGGUCAUUAGCAAGCUAAAAUGUGUGACAGUCUCUGCGGCCCUAUAGCUAUCAGAGAUGGUUCCUAAUUUAGAGGAUCUAUGCUUUAAAUGCUUUUGAUUUUAGUACAGGCAAUGGCAAUGCUUUUCGUAGUUGCAGUCCACCGAAUUGAAAAGUGCACAUUCACUUCCCUAAUAUUUGUUAUAGGCUACCAGCAUGUAAGAUGAACAUGCACUAUAAUAUAGUAUAUGCCUACCCUUACAAAAAUGUACUGCCGUUAAAAUACAGUAAUGAAAUAACGUUUUUUAAAUGAAUAAUAUCUGGUAGAUUGCUGUGUGUGGCUUUUAAUGGUAAUCGUUUGUUUAUUGUGCUGUGCAUUUUCUUCUGUUCCACUGAAUGCAAUUUCGAUUUUAUAGAGUAACUAAAUUAGUUUUCAGAAUUUAACAAAAAAACACGUAGGCCUAUGUAUUUUAUUUCAAUAUCCUACUACAAUCCACCAGGAUUUACAACCCCCUAUAUUUAUUCAAUUUAUUUCAAUAGUCAAACAUUAUUGCACCUGAAUUUGACCCUGACAAUUAUAUUGUCCCUUAAAGCUUUUGAGCAAUUCAAAUUACUGCACGCAUUGUUAUUUUAAUGUCAGUAGCUAAAUGAGGAGGUAGGCAUAUCUGUUCCAACUAAAAUUUGGAUUGGAACCGGUGCUAGCAGCAAUAGAUCUCCGUGCGCCGUGCAGGCAGCUUGAGCGAUCAAGCGCAUUGCUCAUGCGUCAUUGGAACAGAGCGCCCUGUAGGUUACCCAACAACACAGCUGGAAAACAAUGACAGCUUCGAAAUUUGCACAAAAACGUCGAUAACAUUCUCCUGCAUUCUUGUUUUACUUUUGUAAGUAAGGCGGCGGUUUGUUGGGGAGAAGAACUUCAAGGAAAGUUUUGCUAGCUGGCUAAUUUUAGCUAGCUAAUAUUAGCUCUCUAGCUAAUCUUCUAUGGACAUGGUAAGUUAACAUUUUUACCUCCUGCAGCUAGCUAACAUUUUUACAUUUUGAAAUCUGUUUAGCUAAUGACGGUGUUGCUGUCUGUCUCUCUCUGUCUCUGUAUGUGUGUGUGUGUUGCUGUCUGUCUCUCUCUGUCUGUGUAUGUGUGUGGGAGAGACGGACAGAGUGACGACGAUCACAAUAACUUUAGAAAACGUGUGCAAAAUGCUUACAAUCUGACCCAUCACACAACUAUUCAAGAGGGCCACUAUGCUCCAGAUCGCCUUCUCUGCUCUGCAGUCCUCGAUGAGGAUCUACCCGAUUACACCACUCUUAUUAGGCAUGAAUAAAAAUCCCAACGUGCAUUUAUA
Molecule: long non-coding RNA, 2228 nt
Organism: Salvelinus fontinalis (brook trout)
Lineage: Eukaryota; Metazoa; Chordata; Actinopteri; Salmoniformes; Salmonidae
Exons: 2
Source: RefSeq, a predicted model, not a curated record